UAAACUGUCUAGAAUAGAUUAUCAUUUAAUCAUGAUAGAUCCAUACCUGAGUCAACUUAGGAUUACCUAUUAUUUCGAGCCUAAUUAUAUCAUAUGCACAACGAAACCAACACUAAAAAAACAUUAAUCACUAU
Molecule: non-coding RNA, 134 nt
Organism: Populus trichocarpa (black cottonwood)
Lineage: Eukaryota; Viridiplantae; Streptophyta; Magnoliopsida; Malpighiales; Salicaceae
Source: Rfam